RNAcentral lists this unclassified non-coding RNA (216 nucleotides) under uncultured Clavariaceae. RNAcentral's name for it is "sequence contains ITS2". Lineage: Eukaryota; Fungi; Basidiomycota; Agaricomycetes; Agaricales; Clavariaceae. The record is from RNAcentral.
AAUUCUCAACUUCAAAUCCUUUGUUGGAUUUUUGAAGCUUGGAUUAUGGAGGUAUCUUUGCCGGCAAUUACUUGUCAGCUCCUCUUAAAUGCAUUAGCAGAACUUUAUUAAAGUACUAGCUCUAGUUUGAUAAUUAUAUAUCUAUGCUAUUGCUAUGGACUUGUCUGUUCAGCUUCUAAUGGUCUUCGGACUGUCUCUUUAGAGGCAUAUAUUUAA